This 253-nucleotide ribosomal RNA is filed under the name uncultured bacterium. Its description in RNAcentral is "partial 16S ribosomal RNA". It matches the Rfam family "Bacterial small subunit ribosomal RNA", at positions 524 to 776 of the family's 1533-position model. The record is from RNAcentral.
UACGGAGGGUGCGAGCGUUGUCCGGAAUCAUUGGGCGUAAAGGGCGCGUAGGUGGCGGGACAAGCGUGCGGUGAAAGCUCGGGGCUCAACCCCGAGUCGGCCGUGCGAACUGUUUUGCUUGAGCACUGUAGAGGCAGGCGGAAUUCCGGGUGUAGCGGUGGAAUGCGUAGAUAUCAGGAGGAACACCUGUGGCGAAAGCGGCUCACUGGACCAUAACUGACGCUGAUGCACGAAAGCUAGGGGAGCAAACAGG